Numida meleagris (helmeted guineafowl) is the source of this 1121-nucleotide long non-coding RNA. RefSeq lists it as uncharacterized. The record is from RefSeq and is a predicted model, not a curated record. Lineage: Eukaryota; Metazoa; Chordata; Aves; Galliformes; Numididae. The transcript is spliced from 3 exons.
GUGCUGGGCAGGUGCGCGGUCUUUAGCUCUCAUCCGCCGUCUGCUGUGAGGUGAGAGUUAUAGGGCUGCUGGUUUCUCAGACAGAUGAAAGAAUUCAGAAAUGAAGUUACCAGCCCAAGUUCACAAAGAUUUGUGGCAGACAGUCGCAGUUUCCCAGCAGAAAAGCACCUUACGCAGCACAGCAGCCCAUACCAGCACUGCUAAAAGUAGCUGGCGGCACUACCUACCAGAAUCACAGAACUGUAGGGUUUGGAAAGGACCUCUGGAGAUGGGAGUCCAAACCUCUGCUCAAGCAGCUUGCCUACAACAGGUCACAGAGGCAGGUGACCAGAUGUGUCUCGACUAUCUCCAGAGGAGACUCCACACCUUCUCUGCACAGCCUGUUCCAGAGCUCUCUCAAUCUCACAGUGUGGAAGUUCUUUACUGAUGCCCAUUGUGGUGAAAGGAACUAAUGGUCACGGGCAGAUGGAAGAUGCCUUACAUCCAAACCCAUACAUCACUGAGCGACAGUCUUUAGUGAAAGCAUUCUUCUGAAAUGAGAACUGGUGGUGAACUAGAGUGAGCUCAACUUUAAAGGUUUGAUUAACCACCUAAGACAUUGGCUUUCCUUCAAAAGUUAUUUGCUAAUGCAGUUUUAAAGUUUUUGUCAAUAAAUGAUUCUCACUUAAUGGCUUGAUGCCUGAACUGAAACAGGUGCAGUACUGUUUUAAAUAGUUUUAAAAGGAAAAAAACAAUGGAUAUUAGGUUUGCCCUCCUAGUAACAUGUAUUUGUAAUUGAAGUAAAGCAAUGUUAAAGGCUUUGUGUGGUGCAAUAGCACAUCUCAGGGGUGCUUUGGUGAACAGGACACAGAGCAGUGCCUGCAGAGGCACUGUGCCAGAAGAGGUAAGGCAUUUUGUUAAUAAAAGAUGAGUUCAGUAUUAGAUGUGAAUAAAUCUUCUGUAAAAUAAAGCCAUUAGAGCUAGCAAGAAGUAUUACUCAAUCGUACUGUAGCAGACAGUUCAACUAAUGUAGCUGCUCCAGAUCUGACCCUCAGCCAAGUGAGACCUUAUUCUGAGAAAUGCUGUAGGACAAAGGAGGUUUGAUUUAGUACCAAAAUUUCACAGAAGUCUAUAAUCUAGAA